RNAcentral lists this long non-coding RNA (1094 nucleotides) under Homo sapiens (human). RNAcentral's name for it is "HSALNT0154864". The record is from RNAcentral. Lineage: Eukaryota; Metazoa; Chordata; Mammalia; Primates; Hominidae.
AAUCACUUUAUUUAUUUUAUUUUAUUUUGUUUUUUGAGAUAGAGUCUCAGACUGUUGCCCAGGCUGGAGUGCAGUGGCAUGAUCUCGGCUCACUGCAACCUCCACCUCCUGGAUUCAAGCGAUUUUCCUGUGUCAGCCUCCCGCGUAGCUGGGAUUACAGGCACGUACCACCGGGUCCAGCUAAUUUUUUGUAUGUUUAGUAGAGGCGGGGUUUCACCCUGUUGGCCAGGCUGCUCUUGAAUUCCCAUCUCAGGUGACCCACCUGCCUUGGCCUCCCAAAGUGCUGGGAUUACAGCCAUGAGCCACUGUGCCCUGCCCAAAUAACCUGACUUAGAAAUGACCAAAGGCCCUAAAUAGACAUUUCUCAAAAGAAGAAGUACAAAUGGCCAACAGGUAUAUGAAAAAAAAAUGCUCAAUACCACUAAUCAUCAGGGAAAUGCAAAGUAAAACCACAAUGAGCCAUUAUGGUAAACCAAUAAUACAGCCAUUAUGGAGGUUCCUCACAAAAUUAAAAAUAGAACUGCCACACAAUCUAGCAAUUCCGCUACUGGAAAUAUAUCCAAAAGAUAUUAAAUCAGUAUGUUAAAGAGAUAUCUGCACUCCCCACAUUCAAUGCAGCAUUAUUCACAAGAUUAGUGGCAUCUAUCUAAGUGUCCACCAGUGCAUGAAUAAAGAAAAUGUGGUAUAUAUCCACAAUAAAAUGCUAUUCAGCCUUAUAAAUGAAAGAAAUCCUGUCAUUUCCAACAACAUGGAUGAACCUGGAGUGCAUUAUGUUACAUGAAAUAAACCAGGCAUUGAAGGACAAAUAAGCACAUGAGCUCACUUAUAUGUGGAGUGUAAAAAAACUCAAAUUCAUAGAAACAGAGAGUAAAUGGAGGUUACCAGAGACUGGGGGUUGGGAAAACUUGGCAGAUAUGGCCAAGAGAUCCAACAUUUUUGUUAGACAUGAGGAAUAAGUUCAAGAGCUCUAUCAUACAUCAUGGUCAUGACAAUUAACAGCAAUAUAUCAAUAUCUGAUAAUUGUUAGUAGAGUAGAUUUUAAGUGUUCUCACUACAAAAAAGUAUGUCAGGUGAUGCAUGUGUUAAAUAGCUUG